GAUGAACGCUGGCGGCGUGCCUAAUACAUGCAAGUCGAGCGGGCAGCGCGAGUAGUUUACUACUUGGCGGCGAGCGGCGGACGGCUGAGUAACGCGGUAGGAACGUACCCCAAAGUGAGGGAUAAGCACCAGAAAUGGUGUCUAAUACCGCAUGUGAUCUAAGGAUUAAAGCUUCGGCGCUUUGGGAACGGCCUGCGUUAGAUUAGCUUGUUGGUGAGGUAAAAGCUCACCAAGGCGACGAUCUAUAGCUGGUCUGA
This 257-nucleotide ribosomal RNA is filed under the name uncultured bacterium. RNAcentral describes it as "partial 16S ribosomal RNA". It matches the Rfam family "Bacterial small subunit ribosomal RNA", at positions 28 to 295 of the family's 1533-position model. The record is from RNAcentral.